Molecule: long non-coding RNA, 332 nt
Organism: Helicoverpa armigera (cotton bollworm)
Lineage: Eukaryota; Metazoa; Arthropoda; Insecta; Lepidoptera; Noctuidae
Exons: 3
Source: RefSeq, a predicted model, not a curated record
GGCCGGUUCGCUACGGACGUCUACGGCUACGAGCCGCGUACUCGAAAAUUCCGAGUAUGGACAAAUUCGAGUUAUCCGAGUUUCCAUUAUCUUUUGUGCGACUGUGACUUCAGUACAUUUGUUCAGCUGAGCAAAUAUUUGAUGAAAUUUGUUUUGUCGAUCACUUCGCGGACGUUGUGUUAGAAUUGGACAAGUUGUCUGUUUUAUUUUGUUGGAGUGAACUUUUCUAUCGAUUUGUUUGGCUGAUGGAAUUUGUUUGAUUUAUUACCUGAGUGCGGAAAACAUUCAUAUAACCUUCCGAGAAAUCAUCUAGGAAAACUAAUACUCUGUGA